GUGGGGAAUAUUGGACAAUGGGCGAAAGCCUGAUCCAGCCAUGCCGCGUGAGUGAUGAAGGCCUUAGGGUUGUAAAGCUCUUUUGUCCGGGAAGAUAAUGACUGUACCGGAAGAAUAAGCCCCGGCUAACUUCGUGCCAGCAGCCGCGGUAAUACGAAGGGGGCUAGCGUUGCUCGGAAUCACUGGGCGUAAAGGGCUCGUAGGCGGACUUUUAAGUCGGAGGUGAAAGCCCAGGGCUCAACCCUGGAAUUGCCUUCGAUACUGGGAGUCUUGAGUUCGGAAGAGGUUGGUGGAACUGCGAGUGUAGAGGUGAAAUUCGUAGAUAUUCGCAAGAACACCGGUGGCGAAGGCGGCCAACUGGUCCGAAACUGACGCUGAGGCGCGAAAGCGUGGGGAGCAAACAGGAUUAGAAACCCCAGUAGUCC
RNAcentral lists this ribosomal RNA (425 nucleotides) under uncultured bacterium. Its description in RNAcentral is "partial 16S ribosomal RNA". It matches the Rfam family "Bacterial small subunit ribosomal RNA", at positions 354 to 796 of the family's 1533-position model. The record is from RNAcentral.